CAGCAGCCGCGGUAAUACGUAGGUGGCAAGCGUUGUCCGGAAUUAUUGGGCGUAAAGGGCUCGCAGGCGGUUUCUUAAGUCUGAUGUGAAAGCCCCCGGCUCAACCGGGGAGGGUCAUUGGAAACUGGGAAACUUGAGUGCAGAAGAGGAGAGUGGAAUUCCACGUGUAGCGGUGAAAUGCGUAGAGAUGUGGAGGAACACCAGUGGCGAAGGCGACUCUCUGGUCUGUAACUGACGCUGAGGAGCGAAAGCGUGGGGAGCGAACAGGAUUAGAGACCCCAGUAGUCCCUGUCUCUUAUAC
RNAcentral lists this ribosomal RNA (301 nucleotides) under uncultured bacterium. RNAcentral's name for it is "partial 16S ribosomal RNA". It matches the Rfam family "Bacterial small subunit ribosomal RNA", at positions 509 to 807 of the family's 1533-position model. The record is from RNAcentral.